AAAGAUGUUGCUCUGGGCUGUGCCCGCGCCUCCUCCAUUGCGGCCUCGUUCGUUCACUCACUGCUGCAGCCCUAGCCCAAACCCUCCCUCUGUCGGCCUCCGCGCCGCCUUCCCCCGCGCCGUGCCGCUCCCGUCCAGCUUCUCUGCACAGCCCUGACCCUCCGACUCGUCCACUUUCUGGCCAGGGGUCUUCCCGGAGCUUACAUCGGACACGCUCCUCCUCUCUGGAUCCUCGGGGGGCAGCGCUGCGCUGCAGCCCGCGCUUCGCUAAGCCCCGGGCAAGGGUCCUCCUCCUCGUGGCCUGCCCGCCCAGCUCUUCCCUGAGCCCCGGCCGGGGGCUCUAGGGCGGCUCUGGGCGCGAUGGGCUACUGACGUGUCCGACCAGCGGUCUGCGCGGUCAGAGUGGGCCUGGGAGAGGCUUGGGGCGGAGGGGCAAGGACCCGCGCGGGGCUGCCGCGUGGGCACAGCGUGCAGGUGGGGCCGCCGCGACAGUCCGCAGGAGCCUGGGCCUGCUGGCUCUCGGUCCUCGCGCCCUUCCGCUCCCACCUCUGCAGGAGCACCACGGCCCGCGGGGCGCCGCCCGCGGCCGGAGCAGGAGGUGGAGCCGCGGCUGGCGGGCAGGGCCCCGGCGCCGGCCCGGCGGUCCGCGCCGCGCGGGGGCGGGGCUUGCGGCAGCCGGAGGCGGGGCGGUUCCAGGUCCCAGGACGAGGAAGCCGGAAGCCGAGUCCCAGAGACACCUUGUCAACCCUUCCCCGCUGGGGCCUGCGGCCUCCUUCCCGUCUGUGCCCGCGGCCCCGGCCCCAGGCGUUGGGCUGCAGAGUGGGACGGGCAGUGCCCUCACCUGCCUGUGAGCGGUAGCGUCCUGCCCAGCCCGCAGAGGACGGCCCCAGAGUGAACGCGGCCGGGCCAUGGGGACCGCACUGGUGUACCACGAGGACAUGACGGCUGCGCGGCUGCUGUGGGACGACCCCGAGUGCGAGAUCGAGCGUCCUGAGCGUCUGACCACAGCUCUGGAGCGCCUGCGGCAGCGCGGCCUGGAGCAGAGGUGCCUGCGGCUGGUAGCCCGAGAGGCCUCGGAGGCGGAGCUGGGCCUGGUGCACAGCCCCGAGUACGUGGCCCUGUUGCGGGGAACCCAGGCCUUGAGCACUGAGGAGCUCCAGGCCCUAUCCAGACAGUUCGACGCCGUCUACUUCCAUCCGAGUACCUUCCACUGUGCCCGGUUGGCCGCAGGGGCUGCUCUGCAGCUGGUGGAUGCAGUGAUGGCGGGAGUUGUGCGCAACGGUCUCGCCCUGGUGAGGCCGCCUGGGCACCACAGCCAGAGGGCCGCCGCCAAUGGAUUCUGCGUGUUCAAUAGUGUGGCCAUAGCAGCCAAGCAUGCCCAGCAGAAACAUGGACUGCACAGGAUCCUCAUCGUUGACUGGGACAUCCACCAUGGUCAGGGCACCCAGUAUAUCUUUGAGGAUGACCCCAGCGUCCUUUACUUCUCCUGGCACCGCUAUGAGCACGGGCGCUUCUGGCCCUACCUGCGAGAGUCUGAUGCAGACACCGUCGGCCGCGGGCGGGGCCUUGGCUUCACGGUCAACCUGCCCUGGAACCAGGUCGGGAUGGGAAACGCAGAUUACAUGGCCGCCUUCCUGCAGGUGCUGCUGCCCUUGGCCUUUGAGUUCAACGCCGAGCUGGUCCUGGUCUCCGCAGGGUUUGACUCCGCAAUCGGGGAUUCUGAGGGGCAGAUGCAGGCCACGCCCGAGUGCUUCGCCCACCUCACGCAGCUGCUGCAGGUGCUGGCUGGUGGCCGGGUCUGCGCUGUGCUGGAGGGUGGCUACCACCUGGAGUCCCUCUCCCAGUCCGUGUGCAUGAUGGUACAAGCGCUGCUCGGCGACCCCGCCCCGCCGCUCUCAGGGCCCAUGGUGCCGCAUGGCAGCGCCCUGCAGUCCAUCCAGAGUGUCCGGGCAGCGCAGGCCCCUCACUGGAUGAGCCUCCGGCAGCAAGGUGUGGCCCCUGUACUGAGUUCCAGCACUCGCUCCCCGGGGCAGGGGCCCUCCCCUCCAAUGCCUGCGGGGCCUGAGUUCAAGACAGCAGCAGCCCAGGCCGUGGCUGCACUCAGCUCCCUCCUGGACCAGCUACGCCUCCGUCCCACACCCCCUGUCCGCACUGCUCUUGCCUUGCCUGCGCCACUGGACGGUGACCUGGUCCUGCCCCAUGACGUCCUCUGUCAGGAGGGGUCAGCCCCACAGGAGGAGACGCAGGCCUGGGCCAGGCCACACGAGGCCCUGGCCCAGGAUAAGGCCCUCUCUGCACUUGGGAGGGUCCUGCACCUCUUGGACAGGAUCCUGGAUGGGCAGGUGAGCAGCGGCAUUGCAGCCACCCCAGGCCCUGCUGUAGCUGCCACCCUGGACGUGGCCAUUCGGUGUGGCCUCUCCCACGGAGCCCAGAGGCUGCUUUGUGUGGCUGUGGGACAGCUGGAUCGGCCCCCCCAUCUCACCGAUGACGGGGGGACUCUAUGGCUGAACGUCGGGGGCAAAGAGGCAGCUGCCCUGUCCAUGUUCCACGUCUCUGUGCCACUGCCAAGGGUGAGUGGUGGUGUCCCAGGGCAGGGCAGCUGCUGCUCACUGGCAUCACCAUGAGGGCCAGGCCCCUGGCUUUCACCUACCUUUCCUGGAGGGACUGUGGACAACCGGUGGGUUCCUGAGCUGUGUCCUGGCCCUGGUGCUGCCCCUGGCCUACAGCUUCCAGCCUGACCUGGUGCUGGUGGUACUGGGGCCUGCUCAUGGCCUGCAGGACCCCCAAGCUGCACUCCUGGCUGCACUGCUUCGGGGCCCAGCAGGGGGCCGAGUCUUGGCCCUUGUGGAUGAGGAGUCCACACCCCAGCUUGCGGUGGUCCUGGCCAGGGUGCUGCAUGGAGAGGCACCCCCCAGCCUGGGCCCCUUCUGCAUGGCCUCCCUAGAGACCAUGCAAGCCCUGAUGCACUUGAGGGGGCAGCUGGAGCCACAGUGGAAGAUGCUGCGAGUGGCCGGUGAGACUGGGAGGCCAGGCUCAGCCUGAAUGUUGGGGCCUUGGGCGAUAGCAGCCUUAGAGCUGUGGGGAGAGGGGCUCCUGUUCCGGGAAUGAGGUGCUGCCCUGAACCAGCUCACAGCUGUGUCAGGCUGCUUGCGCACCUCUUCCCAGCUCCUCCUUGAGUGCCCUGACCUGGUGGCUUGAAAUCGGCCAGGGUGGGACUAUUUACACCCCGAAAAAGGCACUACGAAGCAGUCCCCCAAGAGCCUGCAGGUGACCAUUCACCAGCACGCCUCUGUCUGAGGCCCCUGUCCGGAGGUCUAGGCUCCAAGGCUGCCAGGACCCUGGCUCCGGGGCUCUGUGACCCCUGCAGCGGCCUGGAACCCCCCUUCCCGCGACCCGCCUCUGCGCAGACCGCUCGCCCCUCGCUUCUCCGCGCCGCCGAAUCAGUAAACAUCCGUUCUGCGAAA
Non-coding RNA from Sus scrofa (pig), 3464 nucleotides. The record is from RefSeq and is a predicted model, not a curated record. NCBI's taxonomy places the organism in Eukaryota, Metazoa, Chordata, Mammalia, Artiodactyla, Suidae.